Long non-coding RNA from Monodelphis domestica (gray short-tailed opossum), 3621 nucleotides. RefSeq lists it as uncharacterized. Lineage: Eukaryota; Metazoa; Chordata; Mammalia; Didelphimorphia; Didelphidae. The record is from RefSeq and is a predicted model, not a curated record.
ACUGGAUGCCCACAGAGCCACAAUACAGUCCUGUUUUGCUCACUAGGAAGAAGGUCUGAGGCUAAGUUCUUUCAAGAAUGAUACUGAUCAACACUUCACCGGGGUCCCUCAGAAUGAGGUCUUAUAUCACAGCUUCAGUAGGAGCCCAUCUAUGAAUGCAGAUGUUACGAGGAGAUGAGAUUGUGCCAUGAAUGGUUGGUCCAAGGGAGUUCUGGUUCUUCUUCCUGACACCAGUAUGAUUAUUCACUCAAGAUUUCUAAGUGCAUGCAAGAGAAAGGAAAAAGAUAUGAAACUGAAAAAUGCAGGAAGAAAUUGAUUGCUCCCCCAAAUUUUACAAAGGCCCUCACUUCCAAAGCUCUUCAGAAGAAGUUGAAUGUUAAAAGAAGAGGCAAAGAUGGGAAACACUCUUUACAGGGCUUGUAAAGAAAAAGAAAGGAGGUGACAUCAUCUCUAGAUUUGAUAAUCUUGAUUGUUUUUUUCAUGUUGGUGUAAGCAUAUUUGAAAAGCUUUUCUUAUUCUUCAUUAUUUUAGGGCCUUGAAUUUGAAACAAGGAAGUCAAGAGUUUUCAGGAAGUGGCUUUGAGCUUUCAAAAUAGCCUGGUAAUUUAGUUUGCUCUCUUUCUCCCUUCUGAUCACUUGAAGGGGGGAGAGAGAGAGAGAGAGAGAGAUAACAAAUUGUGCAUAAAAAACUCUCCCCUGCCUCUGAGAUUUAUUGCUUCAAAUAUAAAUUGAUCUUGUCAGCUAAAAUGGAGUAAAAAAACAAGUAAAUUGUUUUGAUAUACCAUGAAUUGUUAAAUUGGGAAUUAUGGGAGGCUGAAAAAUCCGUACCACCUUGUGAGUCCUCUUUUUUUUUUACACUGAACUUUCACAAGGGAGGAAUUGAGUGAAGGAGUUUCUCAAACCUUAUAAGGACUUCUAUUUCCCUCAUAUGUGAAAGAAAUGAAUUUAUGUCCUUGUUGUGUCCCCCUAGAAUGGGGGAGAGCUUUUUUAUUGCUCAUACAAUGACUAGAGAGUCCACUGAAUGAUUUAUAAGCAGAAAUUUCCCUAAUGUGACCAUAGUGCCUUCUACAUCUGAUCAUAUGUAAUUUUAUUUAAAAGCUAUAACUACACAACUGAUAAAACCUCAAAUGUUAUACUUUGGAAUGCUUACAUUGUGAAUAUUUGGAUUAUACCCUGAUGUUCUCAGAAUUAAUCUAAUUUCUAGGGAAAAGACCUUGAGUAAGACAGAGUACCUGACUAUUGUGAAGCAAUUUUUCCUUGAAGAAAAAAGAUCUGAAAGUAGACUCUGAUGAUUAGAAAUUGGGCUUGGAGUGAAAGUUUGUGAUUAGUAUAAAAUUUCAGAUUAUUGUGAUUACUGAUGAUUACAGAAUCAUUUGAUAAUGAUGGCAAUUAUUGAAUAUUUUGCUACACAAAGGCAUGGUAAAAAUUAUAAACAAAAUGACAAAUCCUACUUUUUGGAUUUGUGUAUGCUAAGUUUUCAGUUGCUGUAAGAUGUUAAUAUUGUGUGUUAAAGGCUUUCAUCCCUAGAAUUUGGAAUUUCUACCUCAAAUCCAAAGAGAAAGGAAAACCCAAACCGGCUAGGUGUCUCCUGAAAGAAAAUUCAAUCAGGCCUUGAGUUGACCACCUGUGAAGUGUUAGAACCUUUAACCUUAACCCUGAAGGUCCCACCUAGUUUAAAAUAGUUGCUCAUCCAAAACCUGCUAUCAUGCAAAUAAUCCUUUGAGAGUCAUUAAGACAUUUUGGUUCCUUGUCAGUGCUUUCCUAAGCAAGCAACAUUGCUCUUCUACAAACACAAAUAUUAAUUUUAAGUCAACAAGCAUCAUCUUUGUUUCUUUUUCUUCCUCCCUUCCUCUUUCUUCCUUUGUAAAAUUCUAGAAUCUUUGCUUUACUUCUGUGAUUGUUAAUUUUUUCCACUGAUGUUUACUUCUGAAUGUUUUCUGAAAGAGAUAUAGUAGAUUGUGUGAAAGAGAGGAGCAGCAAAAGCUUCAGGAAGCCAAGAGAGUGGCAGUUUCAGUUAGAUUGCCUGACCUUGAGGAGGUCCAAAAGAUAGAUUUGCAUGGAUGAUUUUUUUCCCCCAUAAGAAUCGACCCAUUUCUAAUUGUUGUACAUACCACAGAUAAGUGAUCCUUUACAACGAAAGAUACUGAGAUGAGGAAUAGAGUCCUGCUGUAGGUUGCCCUUGAUCCAGGCCAGUCUAGUGCUUCAAGUUCAAGUUCAGACCCUUCCAAUGGGUCACAAAUGGAGAUUUCCUUAGCUACAUCAUGGAAUCGGUUAAACACUACUUCUUUUCCUGUUUUGUCCAUUCUGGUACCAUGGUCAGAAACCUGAAGGGGUUCUAGCCUCCUGAUGGAUGAUUUUUAUAAUUAUACCAAAAUGAGUCUAUUUCAAUAACCUGAGCCUUAGGCCCCUGAACCAAUUGAGUCUCAAGAAUGGUUUCAGAUGGUUUCAGCCUGGUCUACAUGUCAGGUAUUAUUCCUACCAAAAAGUAUAUUAAAGGAAAACUUUAAGUGAACCUGAGUCCGUGAACUAGUAUUGAGGACACCAAAGUUCUAUACCAAUCCCAGUACUUUAUUUCCUAGCCCCUCCUUAGGACCUUGGCGUGGAGAAUCCUAAAGAAGAGACCCUUAGUAAAUGCUAGCUUGUUCACUUACCUUGGGCCAAAUUUAGAGGAUAAUUCAGAAAAGGUAAAGAGUUUGUUUGGAUGGACAAGACUCAUGUCCAUAUUAAUUGGUUGCUCUCCUUCAUACUCACUAAUUGUUUCUCUUUUGCUUUUAUUUCUUCAGUUGAUAUUUUAUUGUGCCGAAAAACAGAGGAGGGGAGAAUGGUGCUGUAAAGAAAGAGAGACUAUAUUUUUGUUCACUUGCCGUGACUGACUGGAUUUCAGAACUAGUUUCUAUUUCAAUUUGGAUCAAAUAAGCCACCAUGUUUGAUAGUGGUGUGUAAAAAUUCUGCAUUCUGUGCUAUUUAAUGAGGGUGAGGACCAGAGAGAUGGAGAAGGAAACUCAUUUGUAGAUUCUGGUAGGUUUGUAUCUUGGAGAGGCUCAGCUACAGAUGCAUCUCCCAAACCCAUGUAUCUUGAAAUACAUUUUUUCUUUUUUGGUUUGAUGUUCUAAUUGUUUUGUUUGGACUGUGUAUUUUUACUGUAACAUAUUUAAAUCUUUGAUUAUUCUUCCAAACUGUUCUGGAGGUUCUCAGAAUUGUUAUUUCAGGAGGUCUUAUAGAAUUUGUGCUCAUUUUCCCCAUGAAAGGGGGAUUUUGAAAAUUUUCUUUGAGGCAAUGUACUUCCCCACUGACAUCACUUUUUUUCAUCAAAUGCAUAUUUGUUUUCCCUUACAAUUAAUUAGCACUACACAUAUCUUAAUCAAUUAUGCUACUGAUUUUUUCUAUGUUAGCCCUCCUGAUGACAAGCUUUACUUCUUAUUAGACCACCAGGGCUGAAUAUGAUCUGUUUUCCUCAGUGGAUGAAUUAGGAUACAGUGCAAGGGAGACUCUAAUGGAACCCCUGCAGAAAUUUCUAUUUUUCUUUGCCAGUCCCAAUCUUUGUUGUUCCCUUGCCUUCUCUUUAACUUCUUUUUGUUAGUCAGAGCUCCUAUUAAAAGGUCCUGCCAGGACUCUGCUGAGA